RNAcentral lists this ribosomal RNA (490 nucleotides) under uncultured bacterium. RNAcentral describes it as "partial 16S ribosomal RNA". It matches the Rfam family "Bacterial small subunit ribosomal RNA", at positions 30 to 507 of the family's 1533-position model. The record is from RNAcentral.
AUUGAACGCUGGCGGCAGGCCUAACACAUGCAAGUCGAACGGUAACAGGAAACAGCUUGCUGUUUCGCUGACGAGUGGCGGACGGGUGAGUAAUGUCUGGGAAACUGCCUGAUGGAGGGGGAUAACUACUGGAAACGGUAGCUAAUACCGCAUAACGUCGCAAGACCAAAAAGGGGGACCUUCGGGCCUCUUGCCAUCGGAUGUGCCCAGAUGGGAUUAGCUAGUAGGUGGGGUAACGGCUCACCUAGGCGACGAUCCCUAGCUGGUCUGAGAGGAUGACCAGCCACACUGGAACUGAGACACGGUCCAGACUCCUACGGGAGGCAGCAGUGGGGAAUAUUGCACAAUGGGCGCAAGCCUGAUGCAGCCAUGCCGCGUGUAUGAAGAAGGCCUUCGGGUUGUAAAGUACUUUCAGCGGGGAGGAAGGGAGUAAAGUUAAUACCCUUGCUCAUUGACGUUACCCGCAGAAGAAGCACCGGCUAACUCCGUG